This is a long non-coding RNA of Cygnus olor (mute swan), 1977 nucleotides long. RefSeq lists it as uncharacterized. The record is from RefSeq and is a predicted model, not a curated record. Lineage: Eukaryota; Metazoa; Chordata; Aves; Anseriformes; Anatidae. The transcript has 4 exons.
GUGUCUUCUCCUCCCUAUGUAAGGGCCAAAGGGUGGCAGUGGGAGGCAGAGUGUUGGAGACGGGAGACGGCAGAUGGUAUUGCAACUGGCAGUGUCAGAAUAGGAGAAGGUAGCGGUGGUGGAGGAGGAGGAGGCGGUGGAGGUGGAGGAGGCCGUGGAGGAGGAGGUGGAGGAGGCGGUGGACGAGGAGGAAGAGGCAGUGUACAAGUAAGAUUAGGCGGUGGUGGAGGACGUUGUGGACGAGGAGGAGGAGGCGGUGGUGGUGGAGGAGGAGGAGGAGGUGGUGGAGGACUAGGAGGUGGAGGAAUCAUAGGAUCAUUAGUGUUGGAGGAGACCUUCAAGUUUGUGCUGCAAGUGAAGCCACAGAAAUUUUCAAAUCCUUCUGCUGCCCCUCAGGGCAUUGCCUCAGUGCAGCUUCAGUCUUGGGGACAGCAUUUGUAAUUGAGGCAGGGGUUGGCAGGAGCAUCCUGUGUGAGGGACCUAAGACCCCAGCAAGGCUGUUGGGGCAUCAAUUGCCAAUUCCUUUUCACUGAAGAUGAGCAUGGAAAAGUGGUGUUUUAGAAAGGAUGCUGACAAACAUGGGAAGUUGAGGAAUUUCCACACUCAAGUCUACAGCCACAAUUCUCCUUCUGUCACCAGCAUUGCACACCGGUGUCUGCUGUGUUCUCACCUCUGCACUUGAACAGCAGAUACCCUCACUCCUUUCAGUGCAGACAGGGAGGAUUAUAAAGACCUAACGGCAUAACAUUGCACUCAAAAGUCCUCCUUGUCAGAAAACAAAAAAAAAAACAAAGAGUGAGGGAGAUUACAAGGACCUCUUUUUUUUCCACCUCUACCGCCACCGCCACCUCCUCCUCCUCUACUGCCUCCUCCUCCUCCUCUACCGCCUCCUCUUCCUUGGCAGAAACUUGCUGGCCAAAUGGCUCUGCGUGCCCCUGGCUAGGGCAUGGUGGUAGCAAUGAUGGUGAGCCCAGCGAUGUCAGGAGCAGUUGCCAGGGACCUGGUGUGCAAAGGUGGCUUCUCUGGGGAGGUCUGGUGGUGAGCGCUGCUCACCGCUCAUAGUUCUAGUUCCAUUGGACACCCAAGAGGAGCAUGUCUCCGUGGCCCUGUAAGGCAGCAGCUGGCGGGUCCCAGCAUCUUCGUGACCCUGUGUGAUGCGUUGCCUGUCCCCUGAUUGGCUGGCUAGCGAUUGUUAGCUGUUUUGCAAGUGUCUUGUCAUCAAUAGAUGGUGUGUCUUCUCCUCCCUAUAUAAGGGCCAAAGGGUGGCAGUGGGAGGCAGAGUGCUGGAGACAGGAGACGGCAGAUGGUACUGCAACUGGCAGUGUCAGAAUAGGAGAAGGUAGCGGUGGUGGAGGAGGAGGAGGAGGAGGAGGUGGAGGAGGCGGUGGACUAGGAGGAAGAGGCAGUGUACAAGUAAGAUUAGGCGGUGGUGGAGGACGUUGUGGACGAGGAGGAGGAGGCGGUGGAGGUGGAGGAGGAGGAGGAGGUGGUGGAGGACUAGGAGGUGGAGGAAUCAUAGGAUCAUUAGUGUUGGAGGAGACCUUCAAGUUUGUGCUGCAAGUGAAGCCACAGAAAUUUUCAAAUCCUUCUGCUGCCCCUCAGGGCAUUGCCUCAGUGCAGCUUCAGUCUUGGGGACAGCAUUUGUAAUUGAGGCAGGGGUUGGCAGGAGCAUCCUGUGUGAGGGACCUAAGACCCCAGCAAGGCUGUUGGGGCAUCAAUUGCCAAUUCCUUUUCACUGAAGAUGAGCAUGGAAAAGUGGGGUUUUAGAAAGGAUGCUGACAAACAUGGGAAGUUGAGGAAUUUCCACACUCAAGCCUAGAGCCACAAUUCUCCUUCUGUCACCAGCAUUGCACACCGGUGUCUGCUGUGUUCUCACCUCUGCACUUGAACAGCAGAUACCCUCACUCCUUUCAGUGCGGACAGGGAGGAUUAUAAAGACCUAACGGCAUAACAUUGCCCUCAAAAGUCCUCCUUGUC